CGGGUGAGGAACACGUGAAGAACCUGCCCUGGACUCUGGGAUAACAGUUGGAAACGACUGCUAAUACCGAUGUCGUUGUUGGAGUCGCAUGGCCCUACAACGAAAGUUUUUCGGUUCAGGAGGGCUUCGCGGCCUAUCAGCUAGUUGGUGAGGUAAAGGCUCACCAAGGCAUCGACGGGUAGCUGGUCUGAGAGGAUGAUCAGCCACACUGGGACUGAGACACGGCCCAGACUCCUACGGGAGGCAGCAGUGGGGAAUCUUGCGCAAUGGGCGGAAGCCUGACGCAGCAACGCCGCGUGCGGGAAGAAGGCUUUAGGGUUGUAAACCGCUUUCAGCAGGGAAGAAAAUGACGGUACCUGCAGAAGAAGGUGCGGCCAACUACGUGCCAGCAGCCGCGGUGACACGUAGGCACCAAGCGUUGUCCGGAUUUAUUGGGCGUAAAGAGCUCGUAGGCGGUUCAGUAAGUCGGGUGUGAAAACUCUGGGCUUAACCCAGAGCCGCCACCCGAUACUGCUGUGACUUGAGUCCGGUAGGGGAGCGGGGAAUUCCUGGUGUAGCGGUGAAAUGCGCAGAUAUCAGGAGGAACACCGGUGGCGAAGGCGCCGCUCUGGGCCGAGACUGACGCUGAGGAGCGAAAGCAUGGGUAGCAAACAGGAUUAGAUACCCUGGUAGUCCAUGCCGUAAACGUUGGGCACUAGGUGUGGGCAUCAACCAACGAUGUCCGCGCCGUCGCUAACGCAUUAAGUGCCCCGCCUGGGGAGUACGGUCGCAAGACUAAAACUCAAAGGAAUUGACGGGGGCCCGCACAAGCAGCGGAGCGUGUUGCUUAAUUCGAUGCUACGCGAAGAACCUUACCUAGGUUUGACAUG
RNAcentral lists this ribosomal RNA (869 nucleotides) under uncultured Actinomycetes bacterium. RNAcentral describes it as "bacterial SSU rRNA". It matches the Rfam family "Bacterial small subunit ribosomal RNA", at positions 103 to 988 of the family's 1533-position model. Lineage: Bacteria; Bacillati; Actinomycetota; Actinomycetes. The record is from RNAcentral.